GACGAACGCUGGCGGCGUGCUUAACACAUGCAAGUCGAACGAAGAGCGAUGGACGCUUGCUUCUAUCAAUCUUAGUGGCGCACGGGUGAGUAACGCGUAAUCAACCUGCCCUUCAGAGGGGGACAACAGUUGGAAACGACUGCUAAUACCGCAUACGAUCUGACCUCGGCAUCGAGGAUAGAUGAAAGGUGGCCUCUACAUGUAAGCUAUCACUGAAGGAGGGGAUUGCGUCUGAUUAGCUAGUUGGAGGGGUAACGGCCCACCAAGGCGAUGAUCAGUAGCCGGGCUGAGAGGAUGAACGGCCACAUUGGGACUGAGACACGGCCCAGACUCCUACGGGAGGCAGCAGUGGGGAAUCUUCCGCAAUGGACGAAAGUCUGACGGAGCAACGCCGCGGGAGUGAUGACGGCCUUCGGGUUGUAAAGCUCUGUUAAUCGGGACGAAAGGCCUUUUUGCGAAUAGUGAGAAGGAUUGACGGUACCGGAAGAGAAAGCCACGGCUAACUACGUG
Molecule: ribosomal RNA, 510 nt
Filed under: uncultured bacterium
Lineage: Bacteria
Description: partial 16S ribosomal RNA
Rfam family: Bacterial small subunit ribosomal RNA
Source: RNAcentral